AGUUUUAUUAAAACAUAAAAAUGUUUAAAAUAUUAGUACAGAAUUUAUAUAAAAGCUCGUGCGAAACGCUUUCGACACCUGCAGCUGCUACUGCUUGUGUGAAAAAUUUAUUGAUUUCAUCACCAGUAACAAAAAAUACUUCUUCAUCACAACGACGCCAUUUUCUUUUUUCUUCUACAAACAGAAAUCAAAUUUUUGCUUUUCCAACUAUCAACAGCAGUGAAGUGAAGGAGCCAAAAAUCUGCACAAAAUUGAAUCAGCAGCAACAAAGCAAAAAGCAGAUUUAUCAAAAAGUAUUCAAUCACAGCGGAAUACAGCAGAGCUCCAUCAGUAGCAACUUCUAUAGAGGAUUUCAUCUAACCUGUAUAAGACUCUUAGAAGCGGAAACACUUCCAGCGGAAAAGCAAGCAUCUAAAACCAAAAGGAAUAGUUUAUAUAUAGACCCAGACGAAGAAGAUUAUUUAGAUACAAUGGCACCUCAUGAUAAAAAUUUCAGUGGUUCACGCGGAGGAGCACGUGGUGGUGAUGAUAGACGUGGUGGCGGUGGUGGUGGUGGUUCAGGAGGGUCUGGCGCCGCUAAAAGUGGUGGUUCACGAUUUGGUGGAGAAUCAUCGUAUCAUGGUGUACGUAAUGGUCGCAUUGAGAAAAAUCGUGAUCGUAGACCAAUGGGUGGUGGUAAUGGUGGACGUAAUGAAGGCGGUAAUUAUGGCGGUGGUAGCUAUGGCGGCGGCAGUUAUGGCGGUAAUAGCUAUGGCAAUAGCGGUGGUUAUGGUGGUGGCGGCUAUGGUGGUGCCAAAAGCAAUAACAAUACUGGUGGCGGUCAAGACUUAACACUCACCAGUGUUGAUUUUUCUAAUUUGGCACCAUUUAAGAAGAAUUUCUAUCAAGAACAUCCAGGUGUAGCCAAUCGUGCGCCAUAUGAAGUACAACGCUAUCGUGACGAACACGAAAUCACUGUCCGUGGUAAUGCCGGCAAUCCGAUACAAGAUUUUAGCGAAGCAUAUUUUCCUGACUAUGUAACCAAAGAAAUUCGUCGACAAGGUUAUAAGACACCAACACCAAUUCAAGCUCAAGGUUGGCCAAUUGCUAUGAGUGGACAAAAUUGUGUUGGUAUAGCCAAGACAGGAUCUGGCAAAACAUUGGGUUACAUUUUACCCGCUAUUGUACACAUUAAUAAUCAACAACCAUUACAACGUGGCGACGGACCCAUCGCUUUAGUUUUGGCUCCAACACGAGAGUUGGCACAGCAAAUACAACAAGUCGCUUCCGAAUUUGGUUCCUCAUCGUAUGUGCGUAAUACUUGUGUAUUUGGUGGCGCACCAAAGGGCGGACAAAUGCGUGAUUUGCAACGUGGUUGUGAAAUUGUAAUUGCAACACCUGGCCGAUUAAUCGAUUUCCUCGCUGCUGGCGCAACUAAUUUAAAGCGUUGUACUUAUCUGGUAUUAGACGAAGCUGAUCGUAUGUUGGAUAUGGGUUUCGAACCACAAAUACGUAAAAUUCUCUCACAAAUUCGCCCUGAUCGGCAGACACUUAUGUGGUCCGCUACUUGGCCCAAAGAAGUUAAACAAUUGGCUGAAGAUUUCCUUGGCAAUUAUGUGCAAAUUAAUAUUGGUUCUCUGGAAUUGUCAGCCAAUCACAAUAUACGUCAAGUUGUUGAAAUUUGCGAGGAACACGAUAAGGAAGAUAAAUUAAAAGAUUUGCUAUCUGAAAUAUAUGACACAAGUGAAAAUCCUGGUAAAAUUAUCAUAUUCGUUGAAACAAAAAGGCGCGUAGACCAGUUGGUGCGUUUCAUACGCAGCUUUGGCGUACGCUGCGGCGCUAUACACGGCGAUAAGUCACAAUCCGAACGUGAUUUCGUGUUGCGCGAAUUUCGUUCUGGUAAAUCUAACAUUUUGGUAGCCACUGAUGUAGCCGCCCGUGGUCUCGAGGCCGAUUAUUGUUGUAUGGUGGGGAUAAACUAUGAACUAGUAAUAAUCUGAUACAAUUUAAAUGCGAACUUUCCGAUUUGAAAAGAGUAUUAUAUUCUAAAAAUAAUUAAAUGGAAUUUGAUUAACAAAGAGAAAGUUCAGAUUCAGAUUCAGAUUAAGAGUGUGUAACGAUGGCGACGGCAACACUUUUACCACUCGCCAUUGGAAAAAGGAUGUCGUAUCGCAUGCUUAUUUAAAUAUGCUGUGUUUUUUUGCUGUAAUGUGGAGACGGAGGUAUAUUGAAUAUGCGGCAAUACGCUUAAUAGCAACUUUAACAGUGCAAAUAAAGCGUACCUCAACUCUACAGCUGUAUAUAUUAAAAUAUACCUUGAAUCCUAUUGCGCAAACCUAGACGAUAUCCGCAUAAAGUAAAAAAUCAUUUGAUAUUCUUUUCAAUUAUUAUUGAUUGCACUAAGAUUCGUAGCUUGGUGUAAUAAUUGUGUAUAACGUAUCGCGAUAGUUAAUGUAUCCCUAUCAUCACGCAUCAUAUGUGGCCUCUGCUGACCCACUGUAAAGUCCGGGGUAUUAGUGGGAUCUAAUGAAAGCGUAAUUUGUUUAAAUAUUACAAGAGCUUACGGUCGUUUCAUACACACACAUAAACAAUUGGAGUGCAAAAAGUGAGAGAAAGAGAAUAAGAGAGCAAAAGAGAGAGAAAGAAAAGCCUGAAAGCCACGUUUAUAAGUUUUAGAAUUUGUAAAACGUGUUCUUAAAUAUUAACGGCGUUGUUUUUAAUUAUUAUAUUUGUUACCAGAACUCUCUCAGCAAUGUACUCCAGCUCUAACGUUUUCAGAUCACACGCAGGCACUUGAAACGGAUUUUAAAAAUGCAUCUCCUACGAACGCUCUCUAAGCAUGUAAAAACCCGAUGUGUUCUUUGCCAAUAAUGAAAAUUGUGUUAAUUUUUUUUUUUUUUGUAAACAAAAAUAUAAUGAACUUUUCGUUAAACAAAUUGUUAUUUAACAACUUUUAAUAAAUCGCGUUUAACCGAUGUAGUUUAAAGAAAAAAAUGAAAAUUUGCCUUUAAAAACAGUGACGUACAAAACGAAAAAAAAAAAAGAAGAAAAGUAAAGGCGACGUAAUGGUUUGGACGGCGUAACACAAAUGUUGAGAAGCUGUUGCUGUUAUUUGAUCUAUACGUCAUGGAACAUCACCAUCACAUCAUCAUUUGCAACGUCCAGAAACAACGUCGUCUCAUCGAAAGGCAAAUGGACUUGUUUUUAUAAAGAUUGUAAACUGCAUCAUUGCCAACAUAAAAUAAACAUAAAUCAACAAAGGACACAUUUGGCCAGCUGCGAUAAUAAAGCGACGGAAAUGCAUAACCAUACUAAAGUCUACAUAAUGCCUGUGUUAGUGAUAAUGUUGGCGUACACAAAAGUCUACACUUUCUAUAGAUGUUGUGCGCUAAUCAAUUUUUCGAAUCGUUCUACGACUGAUUCGGUUCAAACGUCUGAUAUUGUGUGUUGUUUAGCAAAAGAUUGUUUAGAUGUUUAGAAUUUACUACUACUACAUUUGGCUCUUUUCAUCGUUAACGACAAUAAUUGCGACGAGAAGAGUUUCAUAUAUAUAUAAAGCACUAAGAUGUUGAUGGCAUUAAGUAUGUCAUUAAUUUUGAUUACCCACAAUCAUCUGAGGAUUAUAUACAUCGUAUUGGAAGAACUGGUCGUUCAAAUACAAAAGGCACUUCAUAUGCAUUCUUUACCAAAAAUAAUGUCAAACAAUCCAGAGCUUUGGUUGAUGUGUUAAAAGAGGCUAAUCAGGAUAUAAAUCCAGCACUU
RNA transcript from Teleopsis dalmanni, 3741 nucleotides. It is a transcript of the gene named ATP-dependent RNA helicase p62, with no coding region annotated. The record is from RefSeq and is a predicted model, not a curated record. Lineage: Eukaryota; Metazoa; Arthropoda; Insecta; Diptera; Diopsidae. The transcript is spliced from 6 exons.